AUUGAACGCUGGCGGCAGGCCUAACACAUGCAAGUCGAGCGGAUGAAGGGAGCUUGCUCCUGGAUUCAGCGGCGGACGGGUGAGUAAUGCCUAGGAAUCUGCCUGGUAGUGGGGGAUAACGUCCGGAAACGGGCGCUAAUACCGCAUACGUCCUGAGGGAGAAAGUGGGGGAUCUUCGGACCUCACGCUAUCAGAUGAGCCUAGGUCGGAUUAGCUAGUUGGUGGGGUAAAGGCCUACCAAGGCGACGAUCCGUAACUGGUCUGAGAGGAUGAUCAGUCACCCUGGAACUGAGACACGGCCCAGACCCCUACGGGAGGCAGCAGUGGGGAAUAUUGGACAAUGGGCGAAAGCCUGAUCCAGCCAUGCCGCGUGUGUGAAGAAGGUCUUCGGAUUGUAAAGCACUUUAAGUUGGGAGGAAGGGCAGUAAGUUAAUACCUCGCUGUUUUGACGUUACCAACAGAAUAAGCACCGGCUAACUUCUU
This 483-nucleotide ribosomal RNA is filed under the name uncultured bacterium. RNAcentral's name for it is "partial 16S ribosomal RNA". It matches the Rfam family "Bacterial small subunit ribosomal RNA", at positions 30 to 506 of the family's 1533-position model. The record is from RNAcentral.